GGACUACAGGGGUAUCUAAUCCUGUUCGCUCCCCACGCUUUCGCUCCUCAGCGUCAGUAUCGGCCCAGAGACCCGCCUUCGCCACCGGUGUUCCUCCUGAUAUCUGCGCAUUUCACCGCUACACCAGGAAUUCCAGUCUCCCCUACCGAACUCUAGCCUGCCCGUAUCGACUGCAAGCUCAGAGUUGAGCCCUGAGUUUUCACAGUCGACGCGACAAGCCGCCUACGAGCUCUUUACGCCCAAUAAAUCCGGACAACGCUCGCGCCCUACGUCUUACCGCGGCUGCUGGCAC
RNAcentral lists this ribosomal RNA (292 nucleotides) under uncultured bacterium. RNAcentral describes it as "partial 16S ribosomal RNA". The record is from RNAcentral.